RNAcentral lists this transfer RNA (70 nucleotides) under Dipodomys ordii (Ord's kangaroo rat). It matches the Rfam family "tRNA". Rfam says of the family: Transfer RNA (tRNA) molecules are approximately 80 nucleotides in length. Their secondary structure includes four short double-helical elements and three loops (D, anti-codon, and T loops). The record is from Rfam by way of RNAcentral. Lineage: Eukaryota; Metazoa; Chordata; Mammalia; Rodentia; Heteromyidae.
GGGAAAGUGGCUCAGUGGUAGAGUGCUUGCCUUGCAAGCAUGAGGCCCUGGGUUCGAUUCCUCAGCACCA